This 667-nucleotide ribosomal RNA is filed under the name Streptomyces griseorubiginosus. Its description in RNAcentral is "bacterial SSU rRNA". It matches the Rfam family "Bacterial small subunit ribosomal RNA", at positions 74 to 756 of the family's 1533-position model. The record is from RNAcentral. Lineage: Bacteria; Bacillati; Actinomycetota; Actinomycetes; Kitasatosporales; Streptomycetaceae.
AGCCUAUUCGGGGUGGAUUAGUGGCGAACGGGUGAGUAACACGUGGGCAAUCUGCCCUUCACUCUGGGACAAGCCCUGGAAACGGGGUCUAAUACCGGAUAACACUCUGUCCUGCAUGGGACGGGGUUAAAAGCUCCGGCGGUGAAGGAUGAGCCCGCGGCCUAUCAGCUUGUUGGUGGGGUAAUGGCCUACCAAGGCGACGACGGGUAGCCGGCCUGAGAGGGCGACCGGCCACACUGGGACUGAGACACGGCCCAGACUCCUACGGGAGGCAGCAGUGGGGAAUAUUGCACAAUGGGCGAAAGCCUGAUGCAGCGACGCCGCGUGAGGGAUGACGGCCUUCGGGUUGUAAACCUCUUUCAGCAGGGAAGAAGCGAAAGUGACGGUACCUGCAGAAGAAGCGCCGGCUAACUACGUGCCAGCAGCCGCGGUAAUACGUAGGGCGCAAGCGUUGUCCGGAAUUAUUGGGCGUAAAGAGCUCGUAGGCGGCUUGUCACGUCGGAUGUGAAAGCCCGGGGCUUAACCCCGGGUCUGCAUUCGAUACGGGCUAGCUAGAGUGUGGUAGGGGAGAUCGGAAUUCCUGGUGUAGCGGUGAAAUGCGCAGAUAUCAGGAGGAACACCGGUGGCGAAGGCGGAUCUCUGGGCCAUUACUGACGCUGAGGAGCGA